AGUUUUGCUCUUGUUGCCUAGGCUAGAGUGCAAUGGCAUGAUCUCGGCUCACUGCAAUCUCUGCCUCUGGGGCUCAAACGAUUCUCCUGCCUCAGUCUCCAGAGUAGCUGGGAUUACAGGCACCUGCCACCACAUCUGGCUAAUUUUUGUAUUUUUUUUUUUUUUAGUAGAGACAGGGUUUCACCAUGUUGGCCAGGCUGGUCUCGAACUCCUGACCUUGUGAUCCACCCGCCUCGGCCUCCCAAAGUGCUGGGAUUACAGGCGUGAGCCACUGCGCCUGGACCGUAAUUCUCCCUUUUCUUCAGCCUAAAUGUCUUCUUCUCUUCAAAAUGUUAUCAAGUAAAGCAAUAGAAUCAAGUAAAUUAUACUGGCAUCUUUCUACUAAGCAAGCAUUUUACACACAAGAUUAAAUAAAGGUUUAAAGAAAGGAAAGUAUAAUAUAAGAAACAAAGUUUCCUAGAAGUUAUAGUAGACUGGGUGUGGUGGCUGACGCCUGUAAUCCCAGCACUUUGGGAGGCUGAGAUAGGAGGAUUACUUGAGCCCAGUUCAAGACCAGCCUGGGCAACACAGUGAGAGCUCAUCUCUAUUUUUUAAUUUUUAAAAAAAUGUUAUAACAAUAUCAAGUAUACCUCAUAAAGCUGGUUAUGAAGUCAGCUAACAAUAGCAAAACCUCAUGUAACUCACACAAUUGCAGAACUGCUCAUUUUACCAAUCUGUGUGGAAAUUUUCAUCAUUUUCCAAAGGAAAGAGAAAAAGUGCCACUUUUGAAUAAUAUUAUCACUGGAUACAGAACAUGCAAAGACACGAAAAUAAUUCUAAUCCAGAAUGGUUACAUUGUAAAUAGAUCAUCUCAGGUUAAUUGAUACUUGUUAGUAACUGUGAAACCCUGAAGAGAAAUGCUUAAAACAUUAUUUAUUCUGUAAAGCUGCAAAACAAACUAGUAAGCAAAAUAGUAAAUGAACACUUAAAUAAGUUAAAUAUAAUGGAAACACUGCAUAAGUUAUGUGAUAGCACAGAUGCAAGGAAAAAAUGCUGAGAUUCAGUUAAUGCGUGAGCUUAUUCAUGAAGAACUUAUCGAAAGUUCUUGUGUAGGGCUGAAUUCCACAUUAAAUGGUUCUAUCAGAAGGUGAGUCUAAUAAAGCCUGAGAAGGUCAGGCAUGGUGGCUUAUGCCUGUAGUCCCAAUACUUUGGGAGGCCAAGGUGGGAGGAUCGCUUGAGCCCAGGAGUUCGAGAUCAGCCUGGGAACUCAGGGAGAACGCCCCUCUUCCCCCACUUCUCUAAAAAAAGUUUAAAAAUUAGCCAGGCAUGGCAGUGCAUUCCUGUAGUCUCAGCUAUUUGGGAGGCUGUGGUGAGAGGAUCCCUUAAGACCAGGAGUUCAAGGUUGAAGUGAGCCAUGAUCAUGCCAGUGCUCGCCAGCCUGGUCAACAGAGCCAGACCUUGACUCAAAAAAAAAAAGGCAGCCCUAGAUGUUACAGACCUUUCUGUUUUUAGCAAUAUGUGACAAAAUAGAUGAUUUCUGCUUAAUACCAAAGUACAUGGUCUACUGGUAAACUUGUGUCAAGAGUUAAAAUAAGAAUUAAAAAAAAAUUAAUGGUUGUCCUUUGCAAAUUAUUGGAGAAUAUUUAUUGGCUUGCUUUGCUCAUAUUCCUCAGCAUCUGAAUGAACUUAAUCAAAAAUUUUCAGGGACCAUUGUGAAUAAGUACAUUAUCAGGUAAAAUUUACCAGUAAAAUGUAUUGAUUAUAACUUAGAAAGGUGAAAUUAAACACAGUUCACCAAUGAUGUUUCGUAGGUAUUAUAACAUGAAUUCUAAAGAAGACGCUGGCUGAGCGCAGUGGCUCACAAGAGAUAUAUUUACUUUCUAUGUGUGACACUGAUUGAAGUCUGAGAAGCCCUGUCCAUAACUAAAGUGUCUAAUAUGGAAUUAUCCAGAACAUGUGUAGUAUAUUUGAAUGAGGUUCAAGAGAUACCUUUAUCCAAAUAUGGUGACAAAUUUCAAAAGAACCGGAAAAACUAUGAUGGAUUUACAUGAGGUCCAUCUUUACAAAAUUGUAUUGAAAAAUAAAGAAUUUGGCCGGGUGCAGCGGCUCAUGCCUGUAAUUCCAGCACUUUGGAAGGCCAAGGCGGGCGGAUCACCUGAGGUCGGCGUUCAAGACCAGCCUGACCAACAUGGAGAAAUCCCAACUCUACCAAAAAUACAAAAUUAGCCAGGCGUGGUGGCGCAUGCCUAUAAUCCCAGCUACUCGGGAGGCUGAGGCAGGAGAAUCGUUUGAACCCAGGAGACGGAGGCUGCAGUGACCUGAGAUCACACCAUUGCACUCUGGCCUGGGUGACAAGAAGCGAGGAAAGAAAAGAAAGAAAAGAAAAGAAAAGAGAAAAAGAAAGAAAGAAAGGAGGGAGGGAGGAAGGGAAGGAAGGAAGGGAGGGAAGGAGAGAGAGAGAAGAAGGAAGGAAGAAAGGAAGGAAAAGAAAGAAAGAAAGAAAAGAAAGAAAGAAAGAAAAAAAGAAAGAAAAAAUUCUAACACAUUAAAAAGUUAAACCACAAAACUGAAGGUUAGCUAAAGUAAACACAGUGGUCAAUCAUACAUGAUAAACUUCAAGCUGAUGCCAUAAUUGUAAUUACAUGGUAACCUGAAGAAAUAUUGGAUAGUAAAAGCCUAAUGAUUAUUUUAUAUGCUAAUCUGAGUUAUUUCCUUUGAACAAUGGUUAUAUUGAGGAAUUGGUGAAUUUUUCCCUUUGUUCUCCUGCUUGCUUUGCUGUUUUCCCUAAAUAUGUCUGCUGAGAUGAACUAAAGAGAACAUUUUUCCAUCGAGUUCUCUAAAAAUCUACCAGAUGGGAUCUCCUAAAGAAUCCAACAGGAAACACACUCUUCUAGGAAAUCACUGGAGGUCCCAAACCACUCUAAUAUGAAUGAUACCAGACCUCAAAGCUAACAUUGAAAAUGCACAGGUAAAACAUCAAAUAGCAGGCAGCAAGACAGAAUACUACAAGCUUUUACUUUUUCUUUUUUUUUUUUUUUUUCUUGAGACGCAGUCUUGCUC
RNAcentral lists this long non-coding RNA (3039 nucleotides) under Homo sapiens (human). RNAcentral describes it as "HSALNT0047917". Lineage: Eukaryota; Metazoa; Chordata; Mammalia; Primates; Hominidae. The record is from RNAcentral.